GUGUUCAGAGCUCCCAAGGAAAGGGAAUCCUGCCUGUUCCCCCAGACCCUGGACCUCGAGGGGCCACUCCAGCCUGGGCAGCCAGAGUGAACCUGCCUGUGUGAUCAGGACACUCCUGUGUACGCUCAGGGCUGGGGCACCUGCGGUCAGUAGGGGUCCUACGCCUCCCCUCAGACACCUUUGUUCUCAAGCCUUUGUGGCUGGCCCUGGCCUCCCAAGCCAGCCCACCAGCCCUUGUCCUUUGCCUGGCAGGUCUCUCUCCCAGCCAUCCCCCCCUUUCUUGCAUAGCUUUUUACCCAUUCAAGUCUCAGAUCAGAACCUGGCAUGGGACGGGGUGGGACCCCUUCACUCACUGCAGCCCUUCCUCCCGCAAUGCUCCCUCUUCUGCCCACAUCCCCUUACUAGCCCCACUCCCCUCACCCUGCUCUUGCUCCCCGCCCCUCUCUCCUCUCGGCCUGGCCCCCUCCCCAUUUCCUCUCCCCUCCUUUCUUGGCCCUCCAGUUCGGGGAGUCGGGCUUUCUCUCGGCAGGGGCAGUGGCGGCUCGUUGUCCUCCCCUCUCUCCUCACCCUCUCCCUUCUCUCUUCCCCCCUCCAGCCUCCACUCCUCACUCCUCGCCUGCUCACUCACCCUCUCCCUCUCCCGCUGCCCCCCCUCUUUCUCCCCCACCUCUUUGUUUCAGCUGAGAACCGGCUCCUCGGGACAGUUCCCACACUGCAGUGCCUCUGGUGAGGAGACAGCGCCACUGAGAGCAUCAGAAAGCCUGAAGUGUCUGGCAAACAAGUUAUCAGCCCUCCACCACUAUGGAGGAGUCCAUGACUUCAUACAUGAUAGGGAUGGUCUCUCCCACAGAACUACACUUUUCAAGUUCCAGGGCUUGGAGCUAAAUGCAUCUUUGCAUCUAAAACAUACAAUGCUCAGCUGCAGGUGAACUUUUGUCUAUCUCACAGAGGAGCAAAGCCUAGAAGAUCCCUAAUAGAACCCAGGACAAAGGAAUGCUCAAAGCCAAAGUUGCCAGAUAAAAUGCAGGACAUUUGGUGAAACUUCUACUUCGGAUAAGUAAUUUUUUAGCAUAAAUAUGAUCAGUACAUUUGGGAUUAUUUGUAACUAAAAAUUACGUUGUGGCGAGUUUAAAUUUAAUUGGACGACUUUCAUUUUCAGUUGCCAAAUCCCCAACUCUAUUUAAGACACUACACCUCUCUAGCUCCUGUGCAUUCCGGUUGCUAAGUGAGGAAAUGCGAAGACCAGCCUUGGCUCCUCCCGGAACAAAGUGGAGCUGACCUCACAUCCGGAUUUGGCCAGUCGCCAGGUGACCGGAAGUGACGUCGCCCGAGGCUAAUGGCCUGUAAUCUUCGCGAGAGAAAUUAUGCUGCACGAUACUAGGUGUCGCAGGAAGUAAGGGGCUGCUGUCGCCUGGAUUCGCCUCCGUCUGGGCCAGGAAUGAUUUCCAAGGUCCAUGUACGUCCUUGAGAUGCAAACUUACCUUUCUGCCGCUUCCAGCACUGGAAACCGGAAGUGCUCUGGUGGGUGGGGAUUAAUCCGGAAAUGGCUGGUCUGGGGCUUCCCUAGAGAACAGGAUCGUGGGUUAAAACUUGCGUGCCUCGCUGACCUCCAGAAAAACUGAAAAGAGGUGUAUGGAGUCCUCCGGUUUCUACAUUCCUGCAGUGGAUUCUCAGUGAUUUGUAAUGAUCCUUCCCUCUUCAUCCUGUUAGAUAUAGUCAGUCAUUAAAUACACCCCGAAUUCCUGUUAGGUGCCAGACUCCAGGCUGAACCAUCAGAUUUAGGGUCAUCCUUGCUCCUCCGCAUAGUUACAAUUCUUUGACAAUUCAUUGAUGUUUACCACUCUUCUCCAUGAGCCACCAUAUACAGCUAAUUCAGUGAAGUAUUUCUGUUCCAUGAUCUUUGAACACAAGGGCAAACUGCCUGUAAACAAAAAUGACCCUGAGCCUUCUUCCUCCCUACCCUUGCCCUCACCUUGUGUCCACUAUGACCCAAGCGUGAUGCCUUCCCACAUUCAAAAAUCAACUAUUGGCUGGACUCCAAAAACACCAGAGUACACUUUUUUUUUACUGAUGGAAAGGAUUUCUUCAAACAUGUUUCCUUAAAAAGUUUGGUUUUUGCCCUGUUGCUCACCACACACACACACAGGGACAAACUGUGUAGCCUAGGCUGUCUUCCUUCAAGUUCAUGAUCCCCUUGCCUCUGCCUCCUGAGUAACUAAAAUCGCGGCAUGUACUACUGUGUAAUUGAGAAGCUUAAUCACCCACCCACCUGACAUUCUAAAUUUCCUUGCUUCUUGACACUUAGACUACUCAGCAACGUCUCUUUUCCUUUUGCAACUCUUUAAGACAUUGCUGUUCCAUGUCAGUCUGGUCCACCCAGCGGGAAGAAGAAAGAAGAAGAAAGGAGGAAGGGAGAGGGAAGGAAGGGAGGGAAGGAGGGAGGGGGCUGGGGAGGUGGGGAGCUGGAGAGAUGGCUCAACAGUUAAGAGCACUGACUGCUCUCCAGAGGACCUGGGUUCAAUUCCCAGCACCCACAUGGCAGCUCAGAACUGCCUGUAAUUCAGGUUCCAAGGGACAUGGCACCCUCACACAGACAUACAUGCAAGCAAAAACACAAUGCCCAUAAAAAUAAAUCUUAAAAAGAAGAAAGGAGGGGGGUAAAAGGAAAUUCCAGGUUCUGUUUGUACGCAGGGCAAUAGAAAUAUAAGAAUUAAGUCAACUCAAUACCAUUCAGGAGUUUACAGUCCAAUGGGUUUAAUCUUCUUGCUGUUAAAAGCAUCUUGUGAAUAGUUUGGGGAUGGCAAUGGAAUAUUAAAAAAUGGCUACAGGAAAAUGGGUACAGGGAGCUGGAAAGAUGGUUCUGUGGUUAAGAGCACCUGUUGCUCUUGUAAAGGUCUUGGGCUCUGUUCCUAGCACCCAAAGGGUUUACAGCUAUCCAGAGCUCCGGUUCCAGGGAAGCUGAUGCCAUCUUCUGACCUCCUCAGCCACCAGGCAUUCAUGUGGUACACAUACAUACAUGAGGCAAAGCAUUUAUACACAUAAAGAAAUCUUUUUAAUUUUUAUUUUAUGUAUGAGUGUUCUGCAUAUAUACCUGCACUCCAGCAGAGGGCAUCAGAUCCUAUAGAUGGUCAUAAGCCACCAUGUGGUUGCUGGGAAUUGAACUCAGGACUUCUGAAAAAGCAGCCAGUGCUCUUAACCCCUAAGCCAUCUCUCCAGCCCAAGAAAUCUUUUUUAAGAAAAUGAAGACAGGGCUGGUAAUGUAGCUCAACUGAUAGAGAGCUUGUUUAGCAUGCACAAGCCUUGGGUCUGGUCCCCAGCAUCAUAUAAAACAGUGUUUAUGGUACAUGCCUAAAUCUCAACAUUUAGAAAUCAGGCUCUCAAAGUCAUCCUUGUCUAUGUAGUUUAAAGUCAAUCUAGGAUACACGAGACCUUGUCUCAAAAAAAAAAAAAAAGGAAGAAAGAAAGAAAGAAAGAAAGAAAAGUUGGGGGACUGAAGAGAUAGCUCAGCUGUUUAGAGCACUUGAUAUUCUUCCAAAGGAUGGGGUUUGAUUCCCAGCAUUCACAUGGCAGCUUACAACCAUUUGUAACUCUAGUUCCAAGGGACCCAGUGCCUUCUUCUGGCCUCUGAGGGUACCAGGUACACACACAAUACACUUACAUACAUGCAGACCACACACACACACACACACACACACACACACACACACACACACACACACAAAAUUAGAAAAUAAUUAAUUAAAACAAUAAAUGAAUAGUAUCUGAGGAGUAACACCCAAGGUUGUCUUUUGUCCUCACACACAUGCACACAUACAAAAUAAGCUAUCUGCAGGUCUGAUGUCUGACCAUGGCUUUAUUUCUGUUUCUAAAAUGGCAGUUUAUCACUGUAUCCUCGGGAGGAGAUAAAAUAGGGCUUCACAUGGUAGAGAGUUGAAGGGUCUCUUAGAAGAGGCCUUGACCUCCUUUACAAUGGAUUUAUUCUCAGGAUCUAACCGUCUCCCAGAAUCCCCACUUUUUGGUGGUUAUUUUUUUUUGGGGGGGGGGUGUUUUUUUGUUUUGUUUUGAGAAAGGGCCUCAUUUUGUAGUUCUGGUUGUCCUAGAACUCACUAUGUAGAACAGACUCAUGGAGCUCUGCCUGCCUCUGUCUCUGGAAUGCUGGGAUUAAAGGUUUGCACCACCUCA
Peromyscus californicus insignis is the source of this 4182-nucleotide long non-coding RNA. RefSeq lists it as uncharacterized. Lineage: Eukaryota; Metazoa; Chordata; Mammalia; Rodentia; Cricetidae. The transcript is spliced from 2 exons. The record is from RefSeq and is a predicted model, not a curated record.